GGGCCAUAGCUCAGUGAUAGAGCAUCUGCUUUGCAUGAAAAAGGUCUCAGAUUCAAUUCCUGGCAUCUCCA
Podarcis lilfordi (Lilford's wall lizard) is the source of this 71-nucleotide non-coding RNA. The record is from the annotation of a GenBank genome assembly. Lineage: Eukaryota; Metazoa; Chordata; Lepidosauria; Squamata; Lacertidae.